This 304-nucleotide ribosomal RNA is filed under the name uncultured bacterium. RNAcentral's name for it is "partial 16S ribosomal RNA". It matches the Rfam family "Bacterial small subunit ribosomal RNA", at positions 506 to 807 of the family's 1533-position model. The record is from RNAcentral.
CAGCAGUCGCCACGGUAAUACGUAGGUGGCAAGCGUUGUCCGGAAUUAUUGGGCGUAAAGGGCUCGCAGGCGGUUUCUUAAGUCUGAUGUGAAAGCCCCCGGCUCAACCGGGGAGGGUCAUUGGAAACUGGGAAACUUGAGUGCAGAAGAGGAGAGUGGAAUUCCACGUGUAGCGGUGAAAUGCGUAGAGAUGUGGAGGAACACCAGUGGCGAAGGCGACUCUCUGGUCUGUAACUGACGCUGAGGAGCGAAAGCGUGGGGAGCGAACAGGAUUAGAUACCCCGGUAGUCCCUGUCUCUUAUAC